Potamilus streckersoni is the source of this 72-nucleotide non-coding RNA. The record is from the annotation of a GenBank genome assembly. NCBI's taxonomy places the organism in Eukaryota, Metazoa, Mollusca, Bivalvia, Unionida, Unionidae.
UCUGGUGACCUGCUGGUUAGAGCAUCCGCCUAGGAUGCGGGAGGUCGUGGGUUCGAUCCCCGACCGAGUCAA